This 253-nucleotide ribosomal RNA is filed under the name uncultured bacterium. RNAcentral's name for it is "partial 16S ribosomal RNA". It matches the Rfam family "Bacterial small subunit ribosomal RNA", at positions 524 to 776 of the family's 1533-position model. The record is from RNAcentral.
UACGAAGGGGGCUAGCGUUGUUCGGAAUCACUGGGCGUAAAGCGCACGUAGGCGGAUGUGCCAGUCAGGGGUGAAAUCCCGGAGCUCAACUUCGGAACUGCCUCUGAUACAGCACGUCUUGAGUCCGGAAGAGGUGGGUGGAAUUCCUAGUGUAGAGGUGAAAUUCGUAGAUAUCGGGAGGAACACCUGUGGCGAAAGCGGCUCUCUAGUACGGUACUGACGCUGAGACGCGAAAGCGUGGGGAGCGAACAGG